GUUUCUACAAGAGCAGCGAGUGCUCUUAGCCACUGAGCCAUCUCUCUAGCCCUCUCCAUCUUGUGUAUUGAGCCAUGGCCUCUCACUGGCCUGGAGCUCACUGUUUUGUCUGGACUGAUGGGCUAGGGAGACCCAAGGAUCCCCUUGUCUCUAUCUAUCCCAGUGUUUGGGUUGCAGGUACAUGGCGCCACACUUGGCUUUGUACAUGUGUGCUGGGAUCUGAAUCCAAGUAGAUUUACUCAUACGCCGAGCAUCUCCGGAGCCAUCUCCACAGCCCAGUGAUUCCAGUCUUUACAAACAGGAAGGAGAUGGACCUAGAUACAAAGGUUCUGGUGCAGCAAAGGCGAGGUGACACAGAGCAAAGACUUGGCUUAUGCUUACAGAUCAUUCAGGGGUCUCCUCAUUUGAACCAAGAGCUUGAGAAUGUCCAAGUCUCUGUCACGAUGUCCUUGGGGCAGGUGCUGGGUUUCUAGUCAAGAAACUGAUAUCAUCUUUGUUAGGACUUGGAUCUAUUUGGAUACUUCCAGCUGGACAUUAGUCACCAUUUGUACUGAAGAAGAAAAUUAGUUCCAUUUUUUUUUCCUCUACUAGCUUUCUGGAUUCUUGUUUGGAUAGAAGCUUGAUUGCAGUAUAUUAUGACAAGUGGCCUUUAGAAUGUGUCAUUUUAUUUUGUCUCGCACUCCAAGGACCUGGAGUUUUCGGGCUGUGUCUCCCAAGCCAGCCUCUAAGCAGUUUCUUCUGAGGGCUGCGUGCUCUCCGUACACAAGGCCCUGACCUUGACUCAAGGCCAACAAGCCUAAGUGCUGUCCCAAGAGCAAGAUGCCCCCUCUGUGGGGCCUGGAAGUGGGGAGUUCUAUCUGCCACGGGUAUCUUGUGAAACUUUGCCAGCGUUGACCUUCCUUUCUUCUCCAGCUCAAAGAGACCAACCUCAAAGCUGGACACCCACCUGCAGGAUUUGAUGCCUGGCCUGGAGGCCUCCCUCUUUACCUCCACCCAUCUGUCUGAAAUUCCCAUCAUGGGAACCAGCUUUUCUUUAAUUCUGUUGUUAGGAUUCCCCACACAGGUGGACUUCCACCCAUAGGGAGGGUUUGGUGAAGCAGAUGCUGAUCUUCAAGUCUUGGAGGCAGCCCACUUUCCUGUGGGUAGGGAAGGGUACAUACAUGCAGGCAGGCACGGCCAGGGGCUCUGGUCAGGCUUUGAGGAUACCAACAGGCCAUUUUCUCAUGGCAUAAUUUCCUACAGCUGGCCUUGCUCUAGCCCAGUGCUUCCCAACCUUCCCAAUACUGUGGUCCUUUAAUAUAGUUCCUCAUGUUGUGGUGACCUCCAACCCUAAAAUUAUUUUCAUUGCUACUUUACAGCUUGGGACUCUUAAUGUAAAUAUCUGUGUUUUUCAAUUGUAUUAGGUAAUAUCUCUUCGAAAGGGUCUUUUGACCCCCAAAAGGGUCAAACGCACAUGUCCAGGAUGAUUGUAACAAUUCCAUAUCGGUCAUGUGUUCUAGAACAUGAGGGGAGAAGGGAUGGGUCAUUAGAAGUGGGAAAGCCUCUAGCUUCCUCCAUGGAUAAAGUGCUCCCUUCCUUCCACAGAAUGCCCUAGACUGCUUUCCAGGUCCCUUAGAGACCCAAGGUGUCCCCUCUGGGGGAACAAGUCCAGCUGAGAGCACUUCUUGUGCAAGUUCCUCUCCAGUCUUUCUCCCUUUGCCCCAUUGUCCCUGCAUCAUGAUCAUCAUGCCUUCUACAAACAGGGAGGAGAGAGGAAAAGAGGGAAGCAGUUGCUGUAGGCAAAGAAGGAGUGAGCUAGACUUGCUGCCACCAAGCUGCUGGUUUUCCUUCUGGCACGUGCUCUUUCAGAGGGAGUGUGGCGUCAUAUCUUGGGCACACCUGAGCAGAAGAUAGGAGUGAGGGCCUUGCCUGAAUCAGUUCUAGAAAGCAUGGUGGCACAAGGUUGUAUCAGGUAUAGAAUCCAGACCCAAGCACCUUAGUCCUCUGACAGAGAAGCUCUCUCCCAGUUACAGGGGAGGCAGUCAGUGUGAUUUAAUAAGCAGCCAGAAGGUAUACGCCCUUUCUGUUGCGUUCAAGGGUGCACAGACGCUCAGUCUGGGCCAGCAAAUCGUUGCUGUAGGGUACUUCCUUUAAUGAACACAAAGCUUGCAAAUGUUCUCUCAAAGAGCAUAAAAUAUUUAGCUGCGUAGAUAAAACUCCUCCGUAGUCCUGGUUGUACUGUGCCAUUCACCGAUAAAACAAAAAAAAAA
Molecule: long non-coding RNA, 2249 nt
Filed under: Mus musculus (house mouse)
Lineage: Eukaryota; Metazoa; Chordata; Mammalia; Rodentia; Muridae
Description: long non-coding RNA chr7:135543717-135545966
Source: RNAcentral